Populus nigra (black poplar) is the source of this 698-nucleotide long non-coding RNA. RefSeq lists it as uncharacterized. The transcript has 2 exons. NCBI's taxonomy places the organism in Eukaryota, Viridiplantae, Streptophyta, Magnoliopsida, Malpighiales, Salicaceae. The record is from RefSeq and is a predicted model, not a curated record.
ACAGAUUUUCAAUUUCGUUUAAAUUCUGCUCUUUGGUCUGGUUAACAGCUAGCGCCGUACAAGGUACAGAGCUUUCGGCAUUUUGCAGUGCUCCAGUCUCUCAUGUCCCCGAGAGACUGAUCUCCAGCUUCACUAAGCCUAAAAAUUUGAUUUCUUCUUCAGGGGAACGCUUAGCCUUGUCAGUUUUGAUCUGGAACCUGAUCACUCAAAGUCCCCGCCAUCCCUUCUGCCAAUUGCCGCUGGGAUCUCCUGAUGCAACAAUGCAGCUGCAGGGGAUAGUUAGCAGCAAGAACGUCUUCUAUGAAUCCUUUCCUUACUCGUAGGAUUCAGCCCAAAGACACCACUAAUUUGCUCUGAAGGAAAAUGUCAGGCCACCUGAGAGUAAAUAAACGAUUUGCUGUUUAUUUGUGGUCCAUUCCAGUUGUUUUGUUUACAGGCAGGCCCAAGCAUAGUAGCCUUCGUUGCCAUCCAGUGGUAAGGAUUGAUUUAAAAGUUUCCUAUCCAACUCUUCUUCCAGUAAUUUUUCUUUUCAAGUUAAUCCAUUUGUUUUGUGUUCACUGUCUUAGUAAAUAUGAUAGAUUACUGGAUUUGGAAAUUGAGGGGCUUAAACUCCUCAUAUCAGAACUCACAACAAAACUCUGAUUGUAAUUUCCUCACUGAAUUGUGAAGUCCAAGGCAAUGGUUAGUAAACUGCAUAA